Long non-coding RNA from Schistocerca serialis cubense, 654 nucleotides. RefSeq lists it as uncharacterized. NCBI's taxonomy places the organism in Eukaryota, Metazoa, Arthropoda, Insecta, Orthoptera, Acrididae. The record is from RefSeq and is a predicted model, not a curated record. The transcript is spliced from 2 exons.
UUUAUGAAUCGUGAAUCACAUGUAGUAUUCUCUUCGCCAUAAGAUUAAUACGAAUAUAAACAUUUUGCCAUGUAUUGUUUCGUGUUUGCUACUAUCUCAUUUAAAUCCUGUCUGCCUAAUAAACUACGAAACUAGAGUGAGACAACAGCAAACGGGGAAGAAUAUACGUAUCAUGUCAUGUUUAUAUUCGUAUUAUUCUUAUGCCUGAUAGUGAUACAGUCAGAAAUGAAGCACGGCAACUGACUAGAUUUUUAAAUCCAAGAUGUCUCUUUCCUGUGCAGAAUGUAAUGAACUAAAGAGGCGCCUGCAAAGAUUUUGGAACGGAGAAAAAUUUUCGCUAAAAUUUCGUUCAGAACAUCAUCUAUCAUACGCAGUCUGUUAUUUGGUUCUUGUUGAUCAUUAUCAAAGAAAGCAGUAGUGUUCCUAUCAAUAUCCAGAAGCUGCAAGACCUACAUGCCCUAAGACCUUACCUGGUGGGGUAUGAAACAUUUUAUGACAGCAUUUUACAAUGGCUUUUACAGAGGCAGAAUGUGCUGUGGAAUUUGUUUAUGAGGAUUGAGUAGCUCCUACCAUGAUGAUUGAAGUAGUUGAUUAUUUCAUCUGUGUAUUAGUAAUGUAGUCUCAAGUUCAUUAAAAAUUCUGUCCUUUUCCAAA